CUAAGAAUAUUCCGCAAUGGACGGAAGUCUGACGGAGCGACGCCGCGUGGAUGAAGAAGGCCGAAAGGUUGUAAAGUUCUUUUGCUGGGGAAGAAUAACCGCAGGAGGGAAUGCCUGUGGGAUGACAAGAACCGGCGAAUAAGCCCCGGCCAACUACGUGCCAGCAGCCGCGGUAACACGUAGGGGGGCGAGCGUUGUUCGGAAUUACUGGGCGUAAAGGGCAUGUAGGCGGCUUGGAAAGCCUGGCGUGAAAGUCUGCAGCUUAACUGCAGGGGUGCGCUGGGAACUGCUGAGCUUGAGUGACGGAGAGGGAGCUGGAAUUCCUGGUGUAGGGGUGAAAUCUGUAGAUAUCAGGAAGAACACCGAUGGCGAAGGCAAGCUCCUGGCCGAUGACUGACGCUGAGGUGCGAAAGUGUGGGGAUCAAACAGGAUUAGAUACCCUGGUAGUCCACACAGUCAACGAUGUGCACUAGGUGCUGGGGCGGUAGCUUCGGUGCCGGAGCGAACGUGGUAAGUGCACCGCCUGGGGAGUAUGCUCGCAAGGGUGAAACUC
RNAcentral lists this ribosomal RNA (553 nucleotides) under uncultured bacterium. Its description in RNAcentral is "partial 16S ribosomal RNA". It matches the Rfam family "Bacterial small subunit ribosomal RNA", at positions 355 to 902 of the family's 1533-position model. The record is from RNAcentral.